Bactrocera neohumeralis is the source of this 2253-nucleotide long non-coding RNA. RefSeq lists it as uncharacterized. The transcript has 3 exons. Lineage: Eukaryota; Metazoa; Arthropoda; Insecta; Diptera; Tephritidae. The record is from RefSeq and is a predicted model, not a curated record.
UCCGCGAAAGUAUCGUAUGUUACUUUUUAUCGAAAUUGAGAUUUUAAUGCCAAAUUGUUAGAAAACUUAUGUCUCGCUAUCCUGCAAAAUAAUAUAACUGAAAACGCUAUAGUUCCAAUAAAAACUAAGUUUCAAUUUUAUCGUAUGUAACUGUGAAUUUUUCUGUUCGCGCAAAAUUAUCGUAAGUCCAUACACAUUUUUUUGCAUGUGGAACGAAUUACUGCAAACGCACAAAAAUAUAGAGAGAUAACAACAUUUUCAUAUCUUCAUUAUGUGCUCUUUCCAUUUUGCCGUUAAUUCCUCUUUACGCCGUUAAUUCUUGGUGUACGUUUCGAUAUUCAUUGAUCUAUCUGGUGAUAAGUGAAGCUGUGAAAGCCCAAAUUAGUCUUCAUUUAGUUUCAAACACAUCAAUAGUGAACAAAAUAUAAACAAUUGUGAUCAACAAAUGAUUUAUUUGUUAUGGAAUUUACCCAUGGAAAACUAGCUCAUGAAGUGUUUUUAGAUAGAUGUGAAGUCUUGUGAAAUCACCAGUCCCAUAUAGUGAUAGCGAUAACGAUGAUGAAGAGUGCUGCGUUGGAAAACGUGGACUUAAGCGCCAACCAGUGAGAAAGGAAAAGAAGAAAAAUGACAAUAGAGUACUUCCUAACCCGUGUAUAAAUACCAAAUGUAAGAAGGAUUGUCGAAGUGUGCCAGACAUUUCCCGGCAAAAUAUUAACGAACAUUACUGGGGUAUGUCAAACACAAGACGGCUAACAUGGCUUCAUGCAAAUAUCAAACAAAAGCAAAUUAAAAAAAAGGCGAGCUGGGCAGGAAGCAAAGCGUGUGCAAAGGCGAAACUGGACGUUUGAAUAUUCCCUAUUGUGGGAUGGAAAAAUAUUUAAAGUUUGCCAGAAUUUUUUUUGAAAACUUUAAAUAUUUCUCAAAUGGUUUUGAGACAUGCAUUAAAGAAAACUAUUAGUUUUGAAAGCCGAAAAAAAGCACCACAUAAUAAAACAGACCAUCGUACAAUAGAUUUUAUCAAAGCUUACAUAAAAAAGUUGCCAGCAGUACCAUCACACUAUUGCCGUAAAAAUAAUCAAAAAGUCUAUUUACCAAGGGAAUUCAGAAAUGUAUCCAAUUUAUAUAAAUUGUAUCUUAUUUAUUUGGAAGAUCAAGGCUUAAAUGAGUUCACAGUAUCUUGCCGAAUAUUUCGAAAUGUUUUUAAUACAGAGUUUUCAAUUGGUUUCCAUUUGCCAAAAAAGGACAAAUGCACGAUUUGCGAAAAUAUAAAGUAUAUUAACAAAGAUGAUAGAGAAAAAGUUCAGAAUUCAAAAGAAUUUCAAAUUCAAAUAAAUAUUAAAAAACAAAGUACAGCUACUUUUCUCAAAGAACAAGCGGAAAGUAAAAUGGGACAAAAAUUUCUUUGCGCUAGUUUCGAUAUGCAAAAGGUUUUGCAUACUCCUUUUCCAAAAAUGCUACCCUUUUUUAUUCACGCAAAUACGCUUACUACAACUUAAGUGUGUAUGAAAGUGGGACCCGAAAUGGAUACUGUUUUUUGUGGGGCGAAAUCGAUGGCAAGAGAGGCAGUAAUGAAAUAUGCUCAGCUCUCUUGAGGUAUCUUCUUAUUCUAGAUAGUCGGAAAAAAACCGAUGAUCUGAGCCUUUAUUGCGAUAGUUGCUCAGGACAAAAUAAGAACAAGGCUGUGCUAGCAAUGAUAUCAUAUUUUUUAAAUACUUAUAUUUUCCUAAAAACAAUAAAGAUUGCCUAUUUACUUCCCGGACACACUAUGAUGCCGGUAAACUCAGUACACAGCACUAUAGAAUCUUUUAUCAGAAACCAAUGUUUGGGCAACCAGUGAAUGGCCGACACUGAUUAGAAAUUCAAGAACAAAUCCGUCAGGGUACGAAUGCAUAGAAUUACAUCACACUGACUUUAAGAAUUGGAAACUUUUUGCGAACUCACUAUUUAAAAAUAAAACUUUAAACUUAAGUAAAUUACGUAUCGCUAUUAUUAGAAAAGAACAAUUGUCAAUAGAUUUAAGCUACGAGUAUUUCGAAAACUCAAACAAAAAACUUAUUAAUUUGUUCAACGUUAACCAAAAGAUUGAAUCUUUAUAUAGCUGUAAAUUAAAUAUAUCAACAAAAAAAUUCGUAGACUUAAGUAAUUUGUGUAAUAAAAAUAGUAUACCACAAAACUAUCAUAAGGAAUACUUAAACUUUCGACAUUCAAAUUUAAUAAAGGACUGUUUGGAGGAAACGGAUGAAGAAGAUUAAA